Girardinichthys multiradiatus is the source of this 4247-nucleotide long non-coding RNA. RefSeq lists it as uncharacterized. The record is from RefSeq and is a predicted model, not a curated record. The transcript has 4 exons. Lineage: Eukaryota; Metazoa; Chordata; Actinopteri; Cyprinodontiformes; Goodeidae.
UAUUAAUGAAAGAUUAUUUCUUUGGCGCUCGGACCCCGGAAGAAGACGUAAUCGCUGAGGAUGAAGUGGGUUUGAAUAAACAUCUUAGGAUUAUGAUUAGGUACAUCUUCCCCCAAAAGGAGCAAGGCCGGGCUGAGGCUGAACUGAAGGAAAAGGAAAUUAGUUAUGAAUGAUCUGAGAGGAGCGGGGAGUGAAAACUCAGACCAAAAGAGUUUUAAUGGAUUAGGCCCGAAUGGGCUUACCUGAGUUAUGCCUGAAGAGGCGUGGAUGGCUGGUGACAGGUCAGACGAAGAUGGGGCUGCAUCUGACCGGGCUUCAAGGCAGCUAGAUGAGUGCCUGACAAGGCGUAGGACUGAGAUGCCUGCCAAGGCAUGUUCAGAAACGCCUGCCAAUGGCGUGAGAAAGCCUGACAAGGCUGAAUGAAGUGCCUUCCUAGGCAUGUUUGAAAACGCCUGCCAAUGGCGUGAGUGAGCCUGACAAGGAUGAAUGAAACGCCUGUCAAUGGCGUGAGUGAGCCUGACAAGGCUGAAUGAAAUGCCUGCCUAGGCAUGUUUGAAAAUGCCUUGCCAAUGGCGUGAGUGAGCCUGACAAGGCUGAAUGAAACGCCUGCGAAUGGCGUAGAUAGUGAUGAGCCUGACGAGGCUGGAUUGAGAUGCCUGCCAAGGCAUAGUUCGAUAAGCUUGCCAAUAGCAUAGAUGGAGAUGAGCCUGAAAAGGCUGAAUGAGGAGCAUGUCGAGGGUUGGUUGGAUAUGCCUGCCUGUGGCGAAGAUCCAGUGCGUCUGAAAGAAAGAAAGCUAAGAAAUGGAAACUGUCUAGAAAACGUGGCAAUUGAAUUGGAAUGAGAGAAUAAAAUAUUUAGGUUUAAGUGGUUAGAUGUGAGAACCACGAAUAAUGAAGAAAUUUUAAUUUUUAAUUUUAAUUUAAUGAUUGAUCUAGAUAGAGGAAAGGAUUGGAUAAGGCCGACCACCACUAGUAAAUGUGAUAGUUCUUACCUAAGAACUGAUAUAUCGUUGCGCAGAUGAGACAGAUUGGAGGUCAGGGCGGAUGUAUGAAGAGAAUGCUGCGGAGGACCAGCGGCCGAGUUGUUGGAGUGAAGCUGUCGAAACUCCUUGUGAGGCGGCUGUAGUGGCUGCCCUGAUACGAAAUGAGUGACCUGAGAACUGACUUGGGGGAAGAUUGCUUUGAAUUAAAAUUAGUCUAAGAUGGUUGAGAAACCAAGAAGUACUCAUGGGAACUCCUUCAGGAGUAAGGAAGAGGGGCAAGCAGGUUGGAAAGAGUUUGUGGCGGUUGAUGGCGAAUUUAAACAUGGCAUGAAAAGGGCAGAAUGGACCGUUUAAACGAGCAAUGAAGAUGAAGCAAGGACCUUUUCCUUUGGAAGGUUUAAGAUAAAUUUUAAAAUGAUCGAGAUAGAACUUAAGAUCAGAAAUUAUUAGGUCUCUAGCAGGAUCGAAUGAGCUUGAUGGGGUAGUAAAUUCCCCUAUUCUGAGGAAGCCAUAAAAAGCUAAAAGCCAGGCGCUGGAGAGAAGAAAUUUUAGGUAGGAUGAAAAGGGGCCUGAACGGAGAACUAAGAGGAGAUCUUUUAAAAUGGAAAGAGUGAUAGGUCUCCUGGAAUCUGGCCGAGGAAUGCUCUGAUUUUUUAGACCUUUGAGUAAAAGUGUGAUGGAAUGAUUUGAGAAACGUCUUGGAGUGGGUUUGAAGAAAUGGCCUUUUGAAAAGAAAUUUAUGCCAGCUAAAAACUCUUGAUGCAAGGGAGUUUGAAAUGCCGGACAUCAAAGCAAUAAGUAAUAAAUGCUAAUAUGGUAGGAAUGCGGACGGGGUAAAGAGGAGUAUUAAUACGAGGCAAAAUUUUGAAAAAUUUUGCCAAGAAAAGGAAUAAGACCUGAGAGUGGAGGGAGCUAAGCCUGAAUUACAAUAAUAAUUGGCUGAUUGGAGUAAAGGAAUGAGGGAUGAGUUUAGUCGAGUAUCAAGUCUUUGAGAGGUGGUAUCUGUGUUGGAUGAACAUAGACUGAAGGGCAGAGACGACGGAAGACUUGGAAUUUUGAACAAGAAAGAGCAUCAGUAACUGAGUUAUGAUGACCGGGAAUAUGGUGGGCAGUAAUGAUAAAAUUGUGAGUCACGGCUUGUCAGGUGAUGCGGCGCAUGAAGUGCAUGAUGGACUUAGAAGUGGAGCGGCCUUUAUUAAUUACUUCGACUAUGGCUCCAUUGUCGCAUAAAGCGGCUAUGCAUUUUCUUUUUCAUUGGUUGCCCCAGACGCACCAAGCAAUAUUGAUGGGGAUUAUUACGUAAAAGGCUGAUGAUUCGGAUUGGGGAAAAGAAGGUGGCCAGAUGCCAGCGAACCAUGCACCCUGAGGAAAUCCCCCAAAACCCACGGACGGAGCUGCGUCCGUGAAAAACUGAAUGGAAUCUGCUGAGGUGACGACGUCAUCAUAAAAGAAAGAGAUACCGUUCCAGUUCUCCAGGAAAGAGGACCAGAAAGACAGGUCAGAGCGGCAUCCUUCAUCUAAAGAAACCGAAUUGACCAGAGAGGGGACGGAAUUAGCUAGAUCCAGAAGGCGAGAAAUAAAGGAGUGACCUUGGGGAAUUAUGCACAUUGUGAAAUUCAGAUGACCCAAAAGGGAUUGGAGUUGACGCUUGGAGAUGACUGGGGAGGAGAGAAAGGACUGAGAAACUUUGCGAAUGCAGGACAGCUUAUCUUCUGGCAGAGAAGCUACCAUAGCAUCUGAAUCUAGGGAGAUGCCUAGGAACUUGAGCUUCUUGACUGGAGCUGCUGUUGUCUCUUCAGACAGGGGAACACCAACUUGCUGAAAUAACUGGAUCAGCUUAGGGAGAGAGGGGCUGGGGUAAGGGAAGGGGGGAUCGAUAAGAAGAAAGUCAUCUAGCAGAUGGAGAACGAAAGGGAGUUUGCAAACAUUUAGGAGAAUCCAACAGAGAGCCUCAGACAGCUUGUUGAAGAGGCAGGGGGUACUCCUGCAGCCGAAAGUGAGCCUGACUGCAAAAAAGAAACGGCAGUCCCAUUUGACGCCGAGGAGGUGCCAUUGAGAAGGGUGCACCGGCAUGAUUUUAAUGUAAUGUAAUGUCUGCUUUAGCAAUCCAGGCUCCACGCCCCACAGUUUUAAUAAGCGAUAUGGUGUGAUCUACCGUAGCAUAAUACAAGGAAAAUGGGGGCUUGGGAAUAUAAUUAAUACUGAAAUGAGGACUGGAGUGAGGAGCUGAAAGAUCGAUAAGGCGCUUUUUUCCUGAAUACUUUCUGGUAGCCACUCCUAAGGGGCUAAUAUGGAAGAAAGGGAAAGGAGGGGAUUUAAAAGGACCUAUCAUAUAGCCUUUGGAUAUCUCCUUUUUAAGAAGCUGAGCUGCAACUUUUGACUCACAGAGAGCUGACUGCAGGGUUGCGCAAAUGAAUGAGGAAGUGGGGAGGAGAGGGACGCCAAUGAAAAUACUUUGGGAGAGACCAGUGAUAAGGAAAUUGACAAAAGGACGGUCUGGGUGGGACUGAAGAAGGGCAGCUAGUUCGGGAAUAAUGACAGGAGUGGAAAGGUAACAAAAAAUUAACGCCUGGAACCACGACGAGUCCUGCUGAGGGAUAAACGGCAGGGACAAACGGACUUUGGGUGGAAGAAAAGAGCACAAUUGGAACAAACAAACACCUUUCUGAAAGUUAUUGCAAAUAGAAGAAUUAUUGAAAACCUGUCUUGCUGCGGCAUUUUCCCAAGGAAGGAGGCGGAGGAGGUGGAAGUGGAGGGGAGUCAUGGGAUAGAAAAUCAGCGAGCUGAGAAGCGUCUUGGUCGGAUCCGGGAUUUAUUCCACUCGCCCUGAGCUGGGAGGAAGGAGAGGGAGUAACGAGCUGUGAAGCUAGACGAGAGCUUCUUCUAGCAGAAGCAGCGGCAGGAGGGCAAGGACCCAAUAUGAGAUCUUGCGAAAAACCAGCAGGAUCAUCAGAUUCAUAAUCGGACAUGCUGAUCGAAGCUCAGCAGAAAAGCAGUGUCUUCCAUGCAGAAGGUCUUUAAAAGUGAUGCCCUUCGAGAUGAUUGGCUGAGGAGAAGUGCUGGCCUGCCAGUGAGGAGUGAUUGGACGUGGCGGAAUGGACCAGGCCCGGAUCAGGCAUGUCAUCACCCAAGUAGACGUGUGUGCCUCGGCACAGUAAAGCAAGGAGAACAUGAUUAAGAGAAGCAGCCAGGAGACCCAUCGUAACUCUGGAGUAGCCGCAGAAUCCAUGGCUCAGAAGCUACACCUGGCCUGGCUCUGUGUCU